GGCUGGUCCAGUGGUAAUGGGUUAUCAGAACUUAAUAACCUCAGUGCCACUAAACUUGUUUUACAGCCCCUCACUGCUAAAUUUGACUGGCUUAAA
RNAcentral lists this Y RNA (96 nucleotides) under Castor canadensis (American beaver). RNAcentral describes it as "Y RNA (ENSCCNG00000015956.1)". It matches the Rfam family "Y RNA". From Rfam's summary of the family: Y RNAs are components of the Ro ribonucleoprotein particle (Ro RNP), in association with Ro60 and La proteins. Lineage: Eukaryota; Metazoa; Chordata; Mammalia; Rodentia; Castoridae. The record is from Rfam by way of RNAcentral.